GCGUAGUGCAGUGGUUAGCAUGCUCGGCUCAAAACCGAAAAGGCCCGGGUUCGAGUCCCGGGAGCGGCG
Non-coding RNA from Portunus trituberculatus (swimming crab), 69 nucleotides. The record is from the annotation of a RefSeq genome assembly. Lineage: Eukaryota; Metazoa; Arthropoda; Malacostraca; Decapoda; Portunidae.